Molecule: transfer RNA, 73 nt
Filed under: Clostridium sp.
Lineage: Bacteria; Bacillati; Bacillota; Clostridia; Eubacteriales; Clostridiaceae
Also listed under: 9 other names
Description: tRNA-Gln
Rfam family: tRNA
About the family: Transfer RNA (tRNA) molecules are approximately 80 nucleotides in length. Their secondary structure includes four short double-helical elements and three loops (D, anti-codon, and T loops). Further hydrogen bonds mediate the characteristic L-shaped molecular structure. tRNAs have two regions of fundamental functional importance: the anti-codon, which is responsible for specific mRNA codon recognition, and the 3' end, to which the tRNAs corresponding amino acid is attached (by aminoacyl-tRNA synthetases). tRNAs cope with the degeneracy of the genetic code in two manners: having more than one tRNA (with a specific anti-codon) for a particular amino acid; and 'wobble' base-pairing, i.e. permitting non-standard base-pairing at the 3rd anti-codon position.
Source: RNAcentral
UGGGCUAUCGCCAAGCGGUAAGGCACAGGGUUUUGAUCCCUGCAUCACGCUGGUUCGAAUCCAGCUAGCCCAG